This 253-nucleotide ribosomal RNA is filed under the name uncultured bacterium. Its description in RNAcentral is "partial 16S ribosomal RNA". It matches the Rfam family "Bacterial small subunit ribosomal RNA", at positions 524 to 776 of the family's 1533-position model. The record is from RNAcentral.
UACGUAGGGGGCGAGCGUUAUCCGGAUUCACUGGGUGUAAAGGGAGCGUAGACGGCCAUGCAAGCCAGGGGUGAAAGCCCGGGGCCCAACCCCGGGACUGCCCUUGGAACUGCAUGGCUGGAGUGCGGGAGGGGCAGGCGGAAUUCCUGGUGUAGCGGUGAAAUGCGUAGAUAUCAGGAGGAACACCGGCGGCGAAGGCGGCCUACUGGACGGUGACUGACGCUGAGGCUCGAAAGCGUGGGGAGCAAACAGG